RNAcentral lists this ribosomal RNA (237 nucleotides) under uncultured bacterium. RNAcentral describes it as "partial 16S ribosomal RNA". It matches the Rfam family "Bacterial small subunit ribosomal RNA", at positions 219 to 455 of the family's 1533-position model. The record is from RNAcentral.
UAUAGGAGCGGCCGAUAUUUGAUUAGCUAGUUGGUGGGGUAAAGGCCUACCAAGGCGACGAUCAGUAGCUGGUUUGAGAGGACGACCAGCCACACUGGGAAUGAGACACGGCCCAGACUCCUACGGGAGGCAGCAGUGGGGAAUUUUGGACAAUGGGCGAAAGCCUGAUCCAGCCAUGCCGCGUGCAGGAAGAAGGCCUUCGGGUUGUAAACUGCUUUAGUCUAGGAAAAAGGGGUG